RNAcentral lists this long non-coding RNA (12253 nucleotides) under Marmota monax (woodchuck). Lineage: Eukaryota; Metazoa; Chordata; Mammalia; Rodentia; Sciuridae. The record is from RNAcentral.
CUGUCUCAAGCAAUCAAGUGAUAUAACCUACAGCAGGGGAAGUAAGGAGAGGACUGCUUCCCGUUCUACAACUACUGCCCUGAUUUUAAUCAAGAUUUAAUCAAGGAGCAGAAGGAACUAAAGCUACUCCAACAGCUCCUUUUAAAAACAUACAAAGCAGGAUCCUUUUGAUACAUAGGCAUGUGCCCUUGUUCAUGCCCUUGUUGGAGACCUCUGCAAAAGCAUGCUAGGUGUUUUUAAAGUUAUGUGUUUCAUAUACAUUACCAACAAGCACAAUGGAAUCAGGAGGGUAAGUGAUCACUCAUUUCUUCUGUGGAAAAUGUAGGGCUCUCUCUACAGAUUGUUUGCAGAAAGUGUUUUGGGAAACGGUCUGGGAAACCUCCAAAAACAAUGGACUAUUGACUUGAACAAAACCGUAUCAUCCUAUGGAAGUUGAGGGGUGGUAAACUAGAGUCCAGAGAAUAUUAACUAAUGGGUUAAUUUCACAAACUCUGCAUCUUUCUUUUAUUACAGGUUAUAUAUCUGUGAAAUUUUAAAUUUGACUAUAUGAUCAUUUGUACAAAAUAAAAAUAGGACUUGGUAAUUCUGGAAGGAUAUUUUAGGUCAUCAGGGGGAAAAAAGUAUUUGAAAACAAAUAAAUCUUGGCCUGAACACCCUGGAUCUGAGUGCAUCACUGUGGAAAGAUUAUACCAGCUCUGGCAAAUGAAAUGUGCCCAAGAGCAGUUUUUGGAAAUAGGAAAAUUUAAGUGGUAUAAUAUGUGAGGGAAUCUAGUUGAACCCUGCAGCACAAAGAGAGGCUUCUAGUGCUCUGAAAAUAAUCAAAUGGCAUUGAUGUUUGGUGAGGGAGAAAAGGGAGAACUCUUGGUGGAGAAAUAAGCACAAAGACCAGGCACUUUUCCUCCCCUCUGAAGGGCACCAGGAAAGGGAUGACUGUGACUCCACGCAAUCUGAACAGGUUGCCUGUUGUUUUGUCCCUCUGCCCUGAUUCAAGAAGACAUGAAUGAAGGAGUGAAUGGAAGAACGAUACCACAAAAUCUGGGAAGAUUUGUUCAAAUGUGUAGAAGGAGUGUAUGUUCAUAAGGUUACCACUUUUGCGAUAGUUAGGAAAUCAUCCCAUAAAAAGCAAAUCUUAAUUUAGCUAUGAUGGAAUCAACCCAGAUACCCACCAACAGAUGAAUGGAUCAAAAAAUUGUGAGAUACACACACACACACACACACACUGGAGUUUUACACAAAGAAAAAUUAAAUAAUGGCAUUUGCUGGUAAAUGCAUGGAAAUGGAGAAAGUCAUGCUAAGUGAAAUAAGCCGGACUCAGAAAAUCAAGAGCUAAAUGAAUUCUCUCAUAUGUGGAAGUUAGAGUAAAAUAGAGAAAGAAGGUCGCAAGAAAGGAGAUUGGAUAUCAUAAGGAUAUAAGAUAGAUUAGUGAAGUUAAGAACAGGAGAGAAGGAGGCAGGGAGGAAGGGAAGGGGGCUAGAAAUAUGGAAUGAAGCAAAAUAGCUUGUUACAUACAUAUAUAAAUGUACAAAAGAAUUUCACCUGUACAAGUGUGUGUGUUAUAUAUAUAUAUAUAUAUAUAUAUAAUAUAUAUGUACAUGUAAUAUGUAUACAUAUAAUAUGUAUAAAUAUAUAUAUAACCAAACAAAAGUUAAUAUAUAAGGAGUGAAAGGAAGAUCAAUAAAAGAAAGAAGAAAGAACAGGGUGAAGGGAGGAGGGAAGGGAAAGGGGAGGGUGUAUAGGGAUUGAAAUCAAAAUCCUUAAAUGUAUUAUUUUCUCAAAAUGAACCCAAAUACUAAAUAUAAUUAUGAUACUCUGAAAUUAUUUUUUAAAAAUAAAAGGACAUACACUAAUAGAUUUCAGAAAUAAAAGCAGAUCUUAGAGUAAAAUGAGAGAAAAAAAUAAGAUUAACAGGAUUUUGUCAAAACAGAAGAAACAUGAAGUGACAGCUUCUCAGCCUUUGAACACCAUCCUAGCUUCCAGUGAUGUGGUGAGUUAAGUCAUGAUACUACGUUAUUCCUCCAGUGGUGUUUUUCCAUCCCAUUCUGUAUUAUUUCUUAUGGCUUCUAUAACAAAGGACCAGAAAUUGAGUGUCUCACAAUAACAGAAAUUUAUUGUCUGACAGUUCUGAAAGCUGAAGUCUGAAAUCAAGAUAUAGGAAGGGCCAUGUUCCCUCUGAAACCAGAGGAAGAGAAUCCUUCCAUGCCUCUUUUAUUUCUGGUAUUUUCCAGCAAUUCUUGUCAUUCCUUGGCCUGGACAUUCAUCUCUGCAAUCCCCAUCAUCAAGAAGCUGACUUCUCUGUGUAUCUUCAUAUCAUUUUCCCUCUGUGAAUUCCUGUGCCCAAAUUUCCUCCAAUUUAUAAAUAUACAGUUAUAUUGGAUUAGGACCCCGCUCCCAUACACACAGUUCAGUGUCAUGUCAUUUUUACCAAUUAUGUCUGCAACAAAUGUAUUUAUUUCCAAAUAAGAUCACAUUCUGAGGUCUAGAUGGUUUGGACUUCAAUGGUAUCUUUCCAGGGGACACAAUUCAACCCAUAACACCUUUUUCCAGAAAUAGAAUCAAGAAAAGUAUGAAGGAAAAUUACUGGAUAAUUAUAAAAGUCAGUUAUUGGAUAUCUUUAUAGACUUCAGGCCAUCUGACUCCUUCAGUUUGUUGGGGUAUGAGUUAAUGGAAUUGUAUUUAUGAAAACUCAGUUUAUUCUCAUGCCCAGGAGACUACAUGUGAGAUAGAGAUUGAUGAUGAUGAUGAUGGUGAUGAUGAUGAUGAUGAUGAUGGCAGCACUCGUGAUAAUGAUGAUGGCGGCUAACACUUAUUACUAUUAACUGGCUUAUUAUGAGCCAGGUGGUAUUCUAAAUGCUUUAUGAAUUCAUUUAUUUCUUACCAUCACUCCACGAGGAAAAUUCCUAUUAUUCUCAUUUUACAGAUGAGAAAAUGGAGAAGUUAACAAAGGGCUUGAGGCAGGUCAGUUAGAAGAAAUUUCACUUCACGUCUUCUUAAGUAUAGUCUCACCUUCUACCCUCAAGACCUCGACAUGAUCCCAUUGAAACCUUGAUCUUCCCAAUUUACAGAAUGAUUUUCACCCACCCAAUCCUCCCAAAAUGAAAGAGCUACCUAUAUAGCCUCCUAUCUUUACAUCAGUGCCAGUUUCCCCUCCCACGUGAAAAGGAACACACAUGUACCUGCCCAGGUCAGUUCUUUGUAAGGCAAUACCGAGGCCAUCUUGACUUACAUAGGCUGAUCCUCCAAAGGCAUGUUAUAUCCACAUCUCAUUGUUAUACCCAUGGAAUGGACUCACUUUAUACUAAGUUCUUGUAAAUUUUAGAUAUGAUAGUAUGAAUUUGUUCCCCAAAAGAAUAUAAACCAAUUCUGAGUCAUUAGUCUGGGAAUAAUAUACUUUUAAAAUAUAUUAUUACUUUUUUUUGUAGAUUGUUAUUUACCUAGAACUAGAAAAGCCAGAGUGAUUUACAGCAAUUAAGAUAUCAAUUGAGACAGAUCUUAUUCUCUUGAGAUUUCUUGGAUGGAUGAAUUAGAGGAGCAUACUGGUUUGACUUGAUUGUCCAUCCCUGUGUUUAAUUAGUUCCACCAGGCAACAACAAAACAAAUUCUUCAUUGUACGCUCAUCAGAUGUUCAGUGUCCUAGGAUGACUUUAUGUUAAAGCAGCCAUCCUCAAAAAUACAAAAUUACAUAAAGGCCCCUGUCUCAUCCUUGGACUCUGAGCACUAGGCACAGAAAAUGAUUGUGUAAUACAAACAUUUGUCCAUAAAGAUUUAAAAGCUGACCACAUUGUGAGCAUUCAAUAGUUAUGAAACAAUAAACAAGUUUAUCAAUUAAGCAGAAAGAAACCAAAUAACAAUAUCCAGAAUGAUCAUACAGGGAGGAAUGCCAGCAUGAGGCCCAGCCACCUCUUUCUCUUUCACCCUUACUCUUUUAGGGGAAGGAUUUUGAUUGGCUAGUGGUGAUCUCAGCUAUGACACUUGAUUCUUCCCUUUCCCUGACAUCUUGCGACUUGUGAUACAACAGUAGAUUAAGAUCCAUACCUGGCCCCCUACAAAUAAUAUGCUGUAAAGUCAUGCAUAGAAGUGUAUUUUCAAGUAACAACAAUAGUGCUCUCUGAAUUUAGCAAGAAAAGAAAAGCCAUGACUACAAUUUCAGAUAACCUUGGAAAUCUAAAAAAAAAAAAAAUUAGAAAUUGAAAGCAAUUCAUCAAAAAUCAUCUCUCUCAGACCAGGCCUGAGACAGAUUAUUUACAAAAUUGUUCUUGUCUCCUUAAGAUGAGUCCCUGCCUCCCCUCACUGCUUCUGAACGGAAAACUGGUCACAUAGCCCCAACAGAGAAAUCAGUCUCUGCUCUGAGAGGAAAAAGCUUACUCAGCAAGAGGAUCAAAGGGCCACCUGGGGCCAGGGUCCCCGUGUGAGAGGGUAUCUCGAGAUUGUUGGAAGGGCAGACAAAGAGCAGGAGUGGAUGGGGAGAGGUUUGGAUAAGGGAGUCCUCUGAAUAUGCCAUCAAUCUUAGGGCACCACUAAGCUGGCUCCCUGGAGCUUAGGUAUGACAAGGCCUACAGGUAAAUGGAAAUUAUAAAACUGCUUUUUCACAGUAGUGAGGAGGCCAUCAGAAGGUUCAGGGAGGUUAGAAUAGAUGUAUUAAGUACAACCAGAUUUUAUUUGCCAGGAAGAUCCAGAGGACAUGCCCUUCACUUUGUCAAGAAGGAGAAACAUUAGUGAUUGGACUGACUUAUCCUUAGGCACAACAGGCAUAGCACUUAAUUACUUUUUAAACGAGGAAGCAAAAAAUGAACCGGUAGAAUCAAAAAUUAUAUUCAUAUUUAUAUUAACAUAAUUGUGAAAUACAGUUUUUAAUUUUUUUUAAUGUAGAAAGGAGUCCAUGAAGGCAAAAGUGACUUAACCCCUCACCAGUCCCACAAUGGCCCUGUUAGUGAGAGGGCACUGGCAUCUGUAGGAGCUUAGUGCUGACCAUACGCUAUGGGGCUGUGGCAAUGGUGAAGGAUGCUCCCAUGAGGAUGGCGGAGCUGUGAAGUAGCAGAGGUCAGGAGGCAGCACAGAGUAGCCAUGGUAGAUGUAAUCAUGGUAACAGGUGACACAGCCAGAGUGAAACCAGGAUUCCCAGCCCUUGUACUGCUAUCACAAGUUGCAAGGCAAGAACUAAUAGCCAAGAAGUUUCUAGAGGCAAAACAGAUAGAUAAUUUGGCUAAGGGAAUGCUUGACUUGGAUGACCAGAAAAAAAAAAUUAGAUCACGCAAAGAAAACCCUUAGUCGGCUGUUAUAAUGCAAAAUCACAGCUCCUUACCCAGAUACCAAUCAGAAAUUCUUUCUAAAACCCAGAGUCCAUCAGCUGAAGAUUAGGGAAAGUUCCCUUUAGGAAAGAUCCUAAAGAAACAUGAUAAGCAUAUACAAUAAAUAUUACUCAGGUCCUUCCCACAAGGGAAUGCAUCUGCCCCCAUUUAUCAGAUAAAUGGACGCUAAGAAAAGUGAAAUACCCAAACAUUGCCCUAUGAGGAAUGACGCAUAGAGAGCUUACAGGGUCUGAGCUGGCAAUGAAGCCUGGGGGACAUUAAAGUGGUGAUUCUUGGAGGUGAAGUGGUACUAUGGUUUGGAUAAGUGCCCCCCAGAUCCAUGUGCUAAAGGCUUGAUCCCCAGAGUGGCUCCUGGGAGGUAUUGAAACCCUUAGGAGGAAUCUAUUGUGUAGCCCUUAGGUCAAUAUAGUCAUGUCCUUGAAGGGAACUGUGGGACCCUGGUCUCUUCCUGUUUCUUCUUUCUGGUCAUGAGGUAAGCAGUUUUGUUCCACCAUGCACUCCAGCCAUGAGGUGCCACUCUUGACGUUAGUCCAAAGCAAUAGGAUCACUUGAUCAUGGACUGGAACCUCCAAAACCAUAAGCCAAAAUAAACCUCUUUUUCUUUAUAAGUUGGUUAUUUCAGGUAUUUCAUUAUAGUGACACAAAGCUGCAAACAACAGGUAGUAAAUGGAAUUCUGACCUAAGUCAGUUUUACAGUAGGUACCAUGGAUCAGUAGACCUAUCUUAGGGUGACUUUCCUCUAUUGUGAGUGUAUAAUUAGUAUAGCUAUUACUUAGCAACUGGCAGAAUCUCAUAUUGGUUCUAUUAACAAAAGUCAUCGUAGUAGAAAAGGACAAAAUGAAGUCCCAGAAAUUACCUUCCAAAUCAAAAUCAUAAAUUUAAAUCCACCCCACAUCUCAGGUGGAAGUACAGAAGUGAGUGCCAGUCUGAAUAUCUUGAGAUAUUUCACUCAGGAGGAAGUAGAUUUGUCCUUAGAAGAAAUAAAACCACUCAGUAUGUGUUUGUCUUCCCUACCCACUCUCUGAGGACUUUGAGAAUGCCUGAUUUUACCUCUACCCUAGAUGGAAGGACAGUUUGCAGAAAGGAACGUGUGUCACUGGGGGAUGCAUGACCAUGAGAUCCCUGUGUCCGACCACAGACCACCUUACCCACAAGCAGCAGAUCCGAAAGAAUGACAGGAUGGCACUAAGGAUGCAUGAAGACACCAAAUCAGAGACAAACACCUGCAGGUUGGAGAGCUCCCUCAGAUGUACUGAACAGCUGCUGUAUGGUGCUCACCCACAAUUGCUAAAAUACAGGCAUCCCCAGAUGAAGAGACGAAAGUAAAAUGGGUUUGGAUAAAAGGGGUCCUUCUCCCCAUCACUCUCAGCAACUCACUUAGUGGUUGUGCUUUCCAUUCCUACAACUCAGGUUCUGCUGGGUGAGAGCCCCUGGCUCCCAAGAGGCUGCCCUCCCAAAAAGUAAUGAGUGGUAAGGGUCCACUGAGCCUGGAGCCAUGAAUGUCAUUGGUCACUCUUAACUCUUUAUUACCUGGAGACCAGCACCAAUCCCUCAGAUAAGACUUCCUAUGCUGGUUGGAGAAACCUUUUCUAUCAUGAGCAGUCAGGGUGCUGCUACCUACUGAGUCAGAGAGCACUGUGCCUUGAUAAUGAUGAUUGACUGAAGUAUCUCUUCCUGCUUCCAUUCCUGAUGAUAAUGGAAAAUGAGAAUUUGUCUUGCUCAUGGGCUAAUGAGGGCCAGGUGACCAGAGAGUCAGACCCACAGGUAUGAAAGUCUGGGUUAUUCCAUCAAGCAGCAAAAAUGCUGGCCAAGGGUAGGGGAAAUCUAAUCCAGUGGUUGAGGAGGAACAAGAUGACAAAUAUUAUCUUGAAACUAGCUAACAGCUGCAGGUACUGCAGCUUCUUCUGGUAAUUUAUUUAUUUUUUAAAGCUAUUUUUAUUGUGACUGGCCAUAGGACAUGGUGGCAGAAGGGCUUAAUGUGGGGCUUAAGCAGAUCUGAGAGGGGCAAACAGCAAUCAGCAUGUCUGAAUUUACUUUCAAAUAGUGCCUGGAGAAUAAGUAAUCCACAAAGGAUACUUUGGGAAAAGUUGGGGUUUGUUUAUAUUUCAGAUGAUUUUGUUUUAUUGAUUUAAUUUUUUUGGGGGGGUUGAACUCAGGAGUACUUUAUCACUGAACUAUAUCCCCAACCCUUUUUAUUUUUUAUUUUGCCUUCUGCUGAAGAGUCUCACUAAGUUGCUGAGGCUAGCCUUGAGCUUCAGAUCCUCCUGCCCCAGUCUCCCGAGUUGCUGGUAUUACAAGUGUGUGCCACAGCGCUGGCAUGGUUUUUGUUUGCUUUUUGUUUGUUUGUUUGUUUGUUUUAAUUUUAAAAGGAGUAUUCUGAAUGAUCCAGCUAUCUAUUAUACUUUAUAGUCAGACACAUUUUUUAUCUGAAUUUUAAAAAGAAAAAGGAGGAAGAGGAGAGGAAGAAAGGAAAGAAAAAGGGAGAGAGAAAAGUAGAAUUUUGAAGAUAGCAGAAAUUCAUUGCCAGAAUUAUUGCUCCAUUGUGGGUACUCAGUAAACCUGAAUAAGUACUUCAGUGUAUCUAGAAGCCACACUGCUUGGAGACUAUUGGUGUCCACAUUUUCAAAACAGACUCUCUCCGGCCUAAUAGAAUAUUAUCACUUAGAACCUAGUGUUUUCUUAGAAUGUGUUGUUAUAUUUUUACUCAUUACAGGGAUUACUCUAAAGUGACGGGGUCAGUUAGAUGAAAAGUCAGUCUUACCCCAGUGAUUGCUAACAUUUGAAGAGAUCAGCAUGACCUUAAAGGAUUGCAGUGAUGUCUGUCUUUCAUUUAAGACUUCUAUGUCUCAGAAUAAUUUAGCUUGUAAAUACAAGCUUGCUUGAUAAGAGUAGGCUGCAAAGAUUUGUGUAUUUGUUAAAGUGCAGAGCCAAAGACUCACGUCUGAAAAGAGUGAAGAAAGGGCUGGGCACCGUGGCACAUGCCUAUAAUCCCAGAGGCUCUGGAGACUGAGGCAGGUGGAACACAAGUUCAAAGCCAGCCUCAGCAACUUAGCAAGGCCCUAAGCAGCUCAACAAGACCCUGUCUCUAAAUAAAAUAUUAAAAAGGGCUGGAGAUGUGGCACAGUAGUUAAGUGCCUCUGGGUUUGAUCCCCAGUACCAAAAAAAAAAAAAAAGUGAAAAAGGGAAAGAAUAAAGAAUAGCUCUCUUCCUCUCUCUCCCCCACCACCCCCUCUCUUCAUAAUUUUAAAUAACUCCAUAGUAACUUAUAUGCAUGACUGCCACUAGUCUUUAUAUUUCUCUGACUCAGAGUUUAGUGGUGUUGGUAAUAGUGAGUUGUUUUCAGAACAUUACUUCUUCAUUUGCCUUUUCUGGCAUCAAACUGCAUGACAUGUAUACAUAAAUAUAUUAAUCUCUCUGUGUCAUUUUUUAGUUUUGCCUUCUUCCUGGAUAUUAACUCCCUAAUUUUUUCCAACUCCUUGCUCAUAAUAAAUUCCAGAGCAAUGCAAUAUAUUGUGUCUUCCACAUAACUUAGAAUUCAUGGUUUCACAUCUGUCAUUUGAAGAUAAUCAGAAUUCUUUCACUACAAAAUAACUACGCGAUGUGUCCUGAAAAGAGUAAAUGAUUGAUUUCUUUUCAAAAUGCAAAGAGAAAAGCAUUGAGAACACUGCAUCUAAGACAGUGCCCAAAAAGUAACAGUAAUUAAAUGCCCACAUACAAAUAUUUGGCUCAUUCAACCAAAUUUAGCUCUAAACUCAAUAAUGUUCUUUUUUUAAAAAAAAAAAUGUAGUUGUAAAUAAACAGAAUGCCUUUAUUUCAUUUGUUUAUUUUUAUGUGGUGCUAAGGAUCAAACCCAGGGCCUCACACAUGCUAGGCAAGUGCUCUGCCACUGAACCCCAGCCCCAGCCCUCAGUAAUGUUCUUAGGACCACUGUAAUGCUGAACUUGGUCCAGUCUCAUUUUACCAUGGCAAGAGUGAUGAUGAUGAUGAUGAUGAUGACAAUAAUGACAAUGACAAUGACAACGAUGACAGCCAGAGUUUAUUGAAUGCCUACUAGGCAUUGAGGGCUAUGCAUUCAUGCCUACACUCAGCCACUCCUCUCCACUUCCCCACUUAGUGUAAGCCAUCAUUGUCUACAGUUUGGACUACUAGGAUUGCCUACUAAUUUAAUUACACUCUGUGCUUUCAUGCUUAGCUGCUUACAAUUCAUUCUUCAUACAACAGCUGCAGUAACUUUUUUUUUUUUUCUUUUUGGUGUUGGAGAUUGAACACAGAGUCUAGGCAAGUGCUCUGCCAACUGAGCUAUAUCUCCCAGCCCUCAGCUGUAAUGAUCUUCUACAAUGAAUUUUAGAUAACAUCACUAUAUACUUCCUUAACCUGAUACCCACCAUAUUUAAAACCCAUUCCAAACGCAUUACAAGGACUUUCAAAGCCUGGCCACCUCUGGGAUCCCAACAGCCACGCUGCCAUUCCUUAGACACACCAAGCCAUCCCUGUCUCUGGGCCUUGGCUCUGCUAUUUCUCCUUUCCUACCUUCAGACUCUAAAUUUCACCCCUUGAAGAGGCAUUCUGUGAUGACCCAGUCUAACCUAGCCCCCAAUCACCUUCUAUUGCCUCCUUUCUCUUUGAGUUCUCUGCAUACCACUCACCACCUCCGAUGUGCUCUUGUUUUUCUAUUUCUUCAUUGUUUGAUUCCUUCCCCUGGAAUAUUUGCUCCAUGAGAACAGAAACCCCAUUUAUCCUAUUCACCACCAGAGUGGCAUCUAAUAGUACACAGUAGGCCUUCCAUAAGGGUUGUGCUGGAUGAGCAAAGAAUGUGUGACGAGCUUUCUGAGCUCAGAACAUCAUCCUAAGAGGGGAAAACCAUUACAGUUAGGUGUGAGGAAACUCCAGGUAGGUAGGUAAAGCAUGAAGCUUCUAGGUUUAAAACCAGAAUCCUAACUCUCAAUUUGGGGUAGGGAGGUUGAUAGAAGAGGCUAGGAGGGGUAGGACAGGGACACAAGCCACAGGAAAAAUAAAAAAUACAUUUUAUAAACAAUUUCAGAAGAUCUUAAACUCAAAGUGCAGUUCCAAUGUGGACAGAAGUUUUGUUCUGUCUCAUCUUUUUCUCAGAAGGAGAUUUCUGGCUUACUCUUCUGGGCAGGACAGACAGAUCUCCUCCCCUCCGUGGAGGAGUUAUUGAGCAGUGACAACACCCUGAAGACUAAGCCCUCCCUGAUCUCAAAGCAGCAGCAGCUGGCUCUCAGUUCUAAUCAUUGGAUCUCAGGUCUGAAGUGCCAACCAGGCCCUAACCAAGGAGCCCUUCAUCCUUUCCUUCACAAAAUGUGUCGGCACCUACCAUAUGAUGAUGGGCUUACUGGCUCAGAGGACAUGAGAAGGCAGGGGUGGCCCUCGCUGCAUGGAUUUCACGAGCCAUGGGGAGGGCAGACACGCAGGUAAUUUCACUCACAGGCUGAUGGACAACCGCUCCUUUCACUCACAGGCUGAUGGACAACCGCUCCUAUUCUUUUCGCAGUUGGUGGUGAGUGAGCACCAUUUAAUCAGUAGUAGAGUAAGAGAGAUCCCAGCCAUCAGCCUUGGUCUGACCAAAGGAUUUCUACAUAAGACUUUAAAACACAUUUUCAAAUACAACUUUUAGGUUUUGUUAUAUGGCAUGCAUGAUUUACUCAGAUUAUACCAACCAUCUGGAACCUAUACUGCUGCCUGACUUUUAAAGGAAUGGAUUAAGGCUGGAUGAAACCUCCUGGAACACUGAGAUGUUACCUAUUUUUGAGCUGCAGGAGUCACAUUGUUCUUGAAACUGAGAAGUUCCUGGAGAUUUACAGAGAGACUUCUUCUAGCUAAAAACACUGUAAUGUUAAGUGUUCAUAGUAUAAAUUCAUAAGUAGCUACACCGUUUGACCAUAUUUCCCCCUGUUUGGUAUCCUCUGAUGCUAAAAGAUAAAAAAUGGUUUGAGGAAGACUGAGCCUUGACCAUCUAAUACAUGAAUUCAGGGUGUUUAUGUUCAAGGGCUUAAUGCUUACGUAUUAAGAGCCUAGUAUAUUCUUGUGUUGACAUUGGCCCAACUGCCAUUUUAAAAUGCUGCUCUAGCAGAAUUUGCCGUACAUUCGAAAUGCCACACUUUCCAACCAGUUCUAAUUCUUGAGUAAUCCAAUAGUGAGGUGGUAAGGAAGUUACUUCAUUUAUUUCUCUGUUUAUAAUAGUAAUUGCUAUGAUUAGUUCAGAACAUUUCUUAUGGCCGUAAAUUACUACAUACUUAACUCAUUUAAUUCUCCUAAUACCUCCAUGCAUAGGAACCAUUUUCCCUGUGAUGCAGGUAAGGAAAUCAAGGCUCAAAGACACUAAGUAACUUACACACGUUUACACAGCUGGACAGUAGCAGAAUCUGACAUCUUCUGGUAAUGUGUCCUAGUCACAGGCUUACAUUGACAUUUGCAGACCUUCUAAAGAAACAUUUCUGAACAUUGAGUAUUGUAAGGUUCUUCCUCUACUAGAAUUAAUGUAUAUCAGAAAAGAGAUUCAUGUAUAAGGGAAAUUAUUUCACUUACAUGAGGAAUUUUUAAAGAGUUAAACUCAUAGAGAGAGGGAGUAGAAUAGUAGGGAACUCGGGGAUAGGAGGAUAGUGGUCAAAGAGCAUAAAAUUUCGGUCAGACAGGAAGGAUGACUGAAAGAGAUCUAUGAUACGACAUAGUGACUACAGUUAAUAACAACAUAUUGUAUACUUGAAAUUACUGAGAGUCAGUUUUAAAUGUUCUCACUGCAAAAAAAUAAGUAUAUGAGAUAAUGACUAUGUUAAUUACCUUGAUUUAGCUACACCAUAGUGUAUAUAUAUUUCACUAUAUGUUGUACACCAUAAAUACAUACAAUUUCUAUUUGUCAACUUAAAACAGUAAUUUUUAAAAAUUAAAUAUGUAAAUAAAGAUAAUAAUCAGAAGAAGAAAAAUGCUGC